Long non-coding RNA from Passer domesticus (house sparrow), 942 nucleotides. RefSeq lists it as uncharacterized. The record is from RefSeq and is a predicted model, not a curated record. The transcript has 4 exons. NCBI's taxonomy places the organism in Eukaryota, Metazoa, Chordata, Aves, Passeriformes, Passeridae.
CACCUUCUAAAUGUGAAGAUGCUUUCUGUGACAUGGGAGGUGACACUUCAAAUCUCCUUGGCUGGUGAAGGAAAUGGACCCGUCCCUUUCAUAGCACUGGUGGAUGACACCGACCUCAGGAGCAGUCUCAGCAAGGAGCACCAUCUGACUUCUUUUUUCCAGUGGCUCUCAAUCUAUUGUGUUCUUUGGAAAAAUGACCCUUGAAUAGGGUCUUGAUGAAAGGUGCACUACAGGAACAGAACUGAUUACAACUGAAGAGGAAAAGGGCUCACAUAAUUAUGCAUAUGAGCUCAAACCUCUGUCUUGCGUCUGGUGGUGACCUGUACAUUUCUACCUCCAAGGCAAUGUCUCUCUGCCCAGGAGCAGGCACCAGUUCAACCCUAGCAAGACCUUUUGGCCCUCCCAGGAAGAGAAGGAGACAGAGGAAAAACAAACACGCGGAGAUAAACAGCAGACUGUGGAGCACAACAAAAGACAAGGGCUGUGGGGAGCUGCAGGAUCAGAAAUUAAGGAAUAAGGAGAAGAGCACUAGUCUCAAGGUCCCAUGUUGCCAGGAGAGGUUCAAGGAGUUGGUGGCAGCAGCCCAGGAGUGCUGUGCCCUGGGGACAGGGCAGCAAGGGACAGGGGACAGGGCUACUAGCAACAGGGCUCCCCCCUCCCAUUUUGAUUCUGCUUCUUCCUCCCAGUGAUGUGAACAAGCAGUUCAGCUGGAGCCAGGAGAAAACUGAUGGAAAGUCUCUGGUGAUUUUCAGGGCUUUAUUCUGAAAGGUUAGACAUGACUACAUCAAAAGUAUUGCUCCAAGCUGGACUGGGAGAGUAUCUCAGAAAUAGUUUAAGCUGUAAUUUCAGACUAGCCUGCAAUGUUCCCAGCAGAAUAGAGAGAGAGACUUUCACCAUGAGAAAACAAACAAACAAAUAAACAAACAAGCAGUCAGAGAAAAG